Monomorium pharaonis (pharaoh ant) is the source of this 4679-nucleotide long non-coding RNA. RefSeq lists it as uncharacterized. The transcript has 7 exons. NCBI's taxonomy places the organism in Eukaryota, Metazoa, Arthropoda, Insecta, Hymenoptera, Formicidae. The record is from RefSeq and is a predicted model, not a curated record.
GGCCAAUCACGCGGCGAACAGAGGGACGAAAUAACCGCCAUUCGCGACGUAUAGUCCCCUCGACCUGACUACGCGCGAGUAUGAUUCAGAUUUGUGCGAAACGUGUGCGAAAAGAUUGUACAGUUAUCGGGAUCCCUCUACCACGGGGAAGAGCACGGCCGACCCACAGAAUGCCAAUAGCGAUCUCUCUGCUCGUGUGCUCCAAUAUUCCAGAUUUUGAAUGAGAGAAAGGCGCAAGGAAAAAACUUGCCGUUGGUGCACGGCCGUGCUCCGGGGAAACAAAAUCCCACGCAGCAUCCAGGAAGUGGUGAGGGGUGACACCGGAUGCAUUUCAAUGAGGGGAGACGGGCGAACGGGUUCGCGUAAAACAAUUCGUUCUGCGUUUCGCAGAGAGACCACCGUCUCUCAUUCAUUGUCCAUACCGCAGGAGUGCAUUUCAGCGAGGUGUCUGGUUGCACAGAUCGCGCUUUGUAACCAACAAUAAAGUGAAAGCUCUACUAUCUAUACUUCCUGACGAUAUUGGUUGCCAGGGUAACACGACGGAAAUUGAGAGGACGAACAUUGACGCGCCAAGUUUCGCGAACGGAAAAACAGUCUCUCCGUUGCUGCGGCUAUGAAACUCGGCAUGCAACUAAUUCCAAGAGUUUAAACGUUAAUGCGGAGAGUAAUAGAUAGCAAGAGACGUUGGAAAAAGAACUGAUGUGAAAAAUCAAAGCGUAACAAUAGAAAGACCCGUCGAAUGAGACUGUCUACACUAGUGUAGAGCUCUACACAAGUAUGUCUCUUUAACAUCGUCUCACUGACCCGAGGGAAAAUUAAAAGGAAAGUAACUGCCGCUGAGGAACUACGAGAAUGUGGAAACACGCACGACGUUACUUUGCUACAGAGGAAAGUGUUGGAUGAAAAGAUGAUGGACACAGCUGACGUCGUCAGAAGGAAGAGAAAUAGUAAGAAACAUCGAGCAAAAGAAGUGAAAGAAAGCUGCGAGAAAUAAGGAAAUAGUCGACCGACAGAAUCCUUUGAAGAUAUUUCCUUUCGAAAGCACUGACUUCCGGAUCGAGAGCCCUUCACGAAAUCGAAAUUGAAGGACGGGAAAACCGUGAACGAAAGGGGGACAUUUCCUGUGUCAAUAGGGCUUCUCAUAAACGCAUAGUCAUUGAUAUUAAUGAAAAUAUUAAUUGCGUUAUUGAAUAGUCGAUACUGAUGUAAGAAUAGGAAACUCUAAAAAUAUCAAAAAUAAAAAUUGUAAGACAGCUACAUUUUAUUUUAUUGGGUAAAUUACACACACAUUUCUUUAUUUUAUUUCUUCACUUGUUAUCAAUGGGUAAAAAAAAAUUAUACAACUUGGCAACGUUAAAUAGAUUUAACAUUUUAAUUAUAUCUCGCGAUUUAAUUGUAACAGAUAAUUCUACUAUGCAAAUAUUAUUAUUCAUUAAUUUCAAUUUGCUAUAUUUUAGUUUGAGUAAUGUAUAAUAAUCAAAAUCAAAAAAUGCUGUGCGUUUUGUCCGUUUUUUCUCACGAUAGGUUUAUGUCUUUCUCAGUGAAAAAUCAAUUCGACUUAUCUCAUUCACAGAAAUGACAAUGACGAUAACGUAUCAAUUGACAAGUAAUAAAAUAAAGAGGAUAGUAAAUUUUAUCAAAUGCUAAUACGCCGAUUGUAUAAAUUUCAUUGGGUAAGCUGUAUUUCGUUCACUACGUGUAAAAGAAAAUUACACUGUUAAGCAAAUUUAACAUUUAAAUUAAAUUUCGCCAGGUAAUUAUAACAAAUAAUUCAUUGAUUUACCUUGAACAACUACCCUUAAUUAAAAAAAAUAGUUUAUUUGCUGCAAUAACAUAACUAAAAAAAGUUUAUUUUAGAGUUUGCAGAAAUUCCAAUAAAAAUUCAAUGAAUAAAGAAAGAAGUGUAACAUACUGAGUAAUAAUUUUUUUUCUUUACCUUACCUUUGUUACACAAAAAAGUUGAUUUGAAAAAAUUAUAUUAUAAAAUUUUAAUAAUUUAAAAUAUUUACACUAGAAAACUUUUGUUGUUAUAUCAUUGUUGCAACGAUUGUGUAAGAAAAAAUAUAUAGAAAAUAUAAAAAUGAUUUUAUAUUAAUUGGCCUUUGAACGAAUAGAAAUUACGUACUUUUCAUGUAAAAUUAAAUUUUUGUAUCGAUCGAACGUUUGUUAAAAUUGUUUCUACUUAAUGGGAUUAUAUUUUUCUGAACAUCUGCGCUGUAUAUCAACUUUUGAAACAUAAGAUCAGCAUGAUCAUCGUUUAAGGUCUUCUUUAUGUAACCAUGACCCAUUACUUCCAUGCUGGGGGCACGUGAACCAUAUGGUUUGUGUGAUCGAUUAUGCACGCGUUGACGAUCAAGCUAUCAAAUUCGCGAAACUUAAACUUUGCAUGCGCGAACAGUUACUUGUCAUACUUGAAUGGCUUCGUGGGAAACAAAUUAUACGUUACGCCUCCAUCAUUUUUCUUAUGAAUUUUUAUCGUUUCAUAUCAUUUAAAUAAAAAUAAGGUAAAAGUACUUGAAAAGUAUGUUAUAAACUGUAAAACAUUUUAUGAAUAUGCAUAACAAAAUAUUAUAUAACAUUUCAAUGCGUAAAAAAUUACAUAUCUAGGUAACAUUAAAUAGAUGUAAUAUCUUAUUUAAAUCUUGCGAUUUGAUUAUAAUAGAUAAUUCUACUGUUAACAGAUAUUAAAGAAAGUUUUUUAAUAUUAAUUUAUUUAUAAACUAUGUGAUUUAUUAAUUUCUGGAAGCUACUCAUUAAUUUCUGAAGACUAUGACUUUUGAGAGAGAGAGAGAGAGAGAGAGAGAGAGAGAGAGAGAGAGAGAGAGAGAGAGAGAGAGAGAGAGAGAGAGAGAGAGAGAAUAUUUGUUAAACGUGAUUAAUUAAAAGAAACAUAUUCUAAUUGUAUUCUUGUGUGUUCUGUUGCACAAUAACUCAAUAUACAUUUCAUUAAUCAGAAAUAUAAGAGAAUGAAAAAAAACUCAUUAGGUGCACAAAGUGUUUAAUUAUAAGAUUAAUUUUUAAAAAUUAGCUUGCAACGUUGGAGUAAGAGAAAAUGGCGUUACCAUUUCAACCGUUACUCGAAAAUGAGAAACGCUUCGUGAAAAAUUGCAUUCGCAUAAUUUGUGAAUUCGUCCGAGGUGUUCAAGUAUUGUUCAUUGUGUGACAAGCUGCACCUGCAGUUUUACGAUUGUAAAAGCGGAAGAACUCCCCCAUGUGCAUGCUUCACCUGUGCUUUUCUGUUCUCAAACGUACGCAAAGCGUGAUAAAAGGACAAUAGAUGUAUGUCAGAAGUAGCAUUUAUCUGCAUAAAAAUCAGCAUUUAAAUGUGUGAAUGCAUAUUUGUUUAUACAUAUUAUAUAUUUACAUAUUUAUAUAUUUUUUAUACAAUUAAUAAUAUGUCAAUCAAAUAAUAUUAAUUAUUGUUAUUGUUAUUUAAUUUAUGCUAUAGAAUAAAUAAUUUCAUAGAAAUUACAGUUACGUCUUUUAUAAAAAAUUACUAGCACAAUUUAUUAGCCCAAUAUUGGUCCAAUAUAUCCUAACUAUUCUAUUAGCCAAAUAAUAUACACUACUCUGAUAAAUUAUAACUAAUUUGAAAAAAAUAUUAUUUCUAAUAGACUUAUUUUAAUUACUUCAACAGAUUUAAUAAAUAUAUGUAAUUAAAAUGAGUUUUUGUCAGAAAUUGAUUUUAUAAGUAUAUACAAAAUGUGUGUAUAAGAUUUUAUGUUUAAUUUAUAAUAUUUUAUUUUAUUUUAAAUUAAAGAUGUACUAUAAAUAUAUCUACAUAGAUUAUUUUAGAAUGUAUAUGAUGAUAUAAAUUACUAAAAAAGAUUGAUUUAAAAAAAUUUUUUAUUGAUAAAUUGUAACGAGUGUUUUAUCAACAUAAGAUAGCGUUAUAUGCUGUCUUUUCUCGAUCUAGAUUUCUAGCUCUUUUUUACUGCAAUAUCUUCUUACGAUAAUACUUGAUAAUGUUGUUUUACGUGCAUGCUUCUUUGAUAAAGAUUUACUCUAACUUAUCCUAUAAUGUAUAUCUUUUUCACGCAAGAUGUCACUACAAUAUCAUUUUCAAUUUGAGAUAUAAAGAAGGCCGAAACGUCAGGUUAAACGAAAGACGUAUGUUAAAUUACGUUCGUGAUUUAUAUCUUUUAUUACUUUUCUACUGUUUAAUUCAUAACAAGUUGUCGAGGCUCUUUUUUUCUUUCUUCCUUUUUAUUCGCCUUUUUAAUAAGAAAGGCGUAUUAAAAUGUUUAAAAUGGAAUUGUUACAAUUAUUUAAAGGGAUACUAAAUAACUAUCACACUUGAUCGAGAUCGACAAUGUAAAAUCAUUUAUACACAAGAUUUUGUAUGUAAUAUGCAAAGUAUAAAAACGCAAGAUUGUAGUCGCAAGUUAUGUCAUCUUCUCCAGAUGUAAAAGCGGAUGUCAAAAAUGUAAAGACUUUAACUCAUGGUCAAUUAGGAAACAACGGUCAUUAAAAUAAAAAGACAAAGAGAAAAGAUAAACUAUCUGUUAUAAUUAGACGUAUGGAGAUAUGACUUUCUUGGUCUCAAACAACAGAAUGAUGCCGGAUGACAUCAUACCUAUAUAUGUUAUACAUAUAUUAUUAUACAUAAUUAGGUAAUAUAUCAUUUACAUAGCAAAAACAGCAAUUUUUUCAAAGAAAUAAAUUUUUCAAAAAAAAAA